This 356-nucleotide long non-coding RNA is filed under the name Ananas comosus (pineapple). RNAcentral describes it as "long non-coding RNA (ACOM_LNC029073)". Lineage: Eukaryota; Viridiplantae; Streptophyta; Magnoliopsida; Poales; Bromeliaceae. The record is from RNAcentral.
UUAUAUUUAACCAAAUAUAAGUCAACCACAUAUUACAUUCUUUUCUUUUAAUAUACAUCACAUGAUCCAUCCACCAAAACAUAUGAAUUUACAACAUUUACAUCACCAUUCAUCAUAUACAAAAGAUGAUAAGAUACAUGGUAUGACUAUACUCGGGUAGCCGCUAUCUAGGGUGCGAUGCCCUUGCCGCGAUCCUCGACCGCCCCGCUCGCGCUAGGAUCUGCAAGGUUAGUGGUGUGAGAACUAAAGAAAGUUCCUAGUGGGUUCGGCCGCCGACCCCGCCGACUCACCCACUAGGUCUACUCAGGUAUAUGUAGGAAAAGAAGAGAUAGAUAGAAAACCAUACUAAUGCUACU